RNAcentral lists this transfer RNA (73 nucleotides) under Thermoplasmatales archaeon. Its description in RNAcentral is "tRNA-Gly". It matches the Rfam family "tRNA". From Rfam's summary of the family: Transfer RNA (tRNA) molecules are approximately 80 nucleotides in length. The record is from RNAcentral. Lineage: Archaea; Methanobacteriati; Thermoplasmatota; Thermoplasmata; Thermoplasmatales.
GCGGGAGUAGUGUAGCUGGUUAUCACUUGACCUUGCCAAGGUUAGAACUCGGGUUCGAAUCCCGGCUCCCGCA